Molecule: long non-coding RNA, 544 nt
Filed under: Drosophila guanche
Lineage: Eukaryota; Metazoa; Arthropoda; Insecta; Diptera; Drosophilidae
Source: RNAcentral
UCUGACCACCUACUUUUCUCUCUUCCACAGAAACUCAAAACUCAAACAAAACCUGACACGGAACUUCAAAUUACUGCAAGAUCAACACUAAGAGGGGAAAGUAACCACAACUGCUACAUGGGCCAUCUGCACUUGGUUGCCUACGUCUUUGCUUGUCCAACGUCUUCAACUUCUUCGCGAGCGCUGUUGACCUCUCAUCUUCUACAGCAGAUUAAGAGUCAAGGGCGCUCACUCUGCUACCUAGCUGCUUCUGUCCCACUACUCUACUGAAGGAUAGCUUCGGGAUCUUGUAGCUGCUCCAGGUGCAUCGCGUGGCCGACUUAUUGUCCCCACGGGCCAUCUCGAGCAAAAUAAAUCUCUACGAGAUACUACUUUCCCGGUGUCCUCCAGCGGUAAGUAGGGGAAGCAGCACAAAAAAAAAAAACUACACGAACUUAACUAACUUCGGGUAUUUUUUCCUUUCCAGGCUCUCUUUUGUCCACCAGGCAACGGGUCCGUUGCUAACCGGCUUGAGGACUCUCCUCAGCCAGUGCCAACCUCACCC